RNAcentral lists this ribosomal RNA (429 nucleotides) under Chloroflexota bacterium. RNAcentral describes it as "Chloroflexi bacterium partial 16S ribosomal RNA". It matches the Rfam family "Bacterial small subunit ribosomal RNA", at positions 355 to 776 of the family's 1533-position model. Lineage: Bacteria; Bacillati; Chloroflexota. The record is from RNAcentral.
UGGGGAAUAUUGCACAAUGGGCGCAAGCCUGAUGCAGCCAUGCCGCGUGUAUGAAGAAGGCCUUCGGGUUGUAAAGUACUUUCAGCGGGGAGGAAGGGAGUAAAGUUAAUACCUUUGCUCAUUGACGUUACCCGCAGAAGAAGCACCGGCUAACUCCGUGCCAGCAGCCGCGGUAAUACGGAGGGUGCAAGCGUUAAUCGGAAUUACUGGGCGUAAAGCGCACGCAGGCGGUCUGUCAAGUCGGAUGUGAAAUCCCCGGGCUCAACCUGGGAACUGCAUUCGGAACUGGCAGGCUAGAGUCUUGUAGAGGGGGGUAGAAUUCCAGGUGUAGCGGUGAAAUGCGUAGAGAUCUGGAGGAAUACCGGUGGCGAAGGCGGCCCCCUGGACAAAGACUGACGCUCAGGUGCGAAAGCGUGGGGAGCAAACAGG